This is a ribosomal RNA of 1140 nucleotides. It matches the Rfam family "Bacterial small subunit ribosomal RNA", at positions 50 to 1187 of the family's 1533-position model.
UUANNAUGCAGUCGAACGGUAGCAGGAAGGAAGCUUGCUUUCUUUGCUGACGAGUGGCGGACGGGUGAGUAAUGCUUGGGAAUCUGGCUUAUGGAGGGGGAUAACUGCGGGAAACUGCAGCUAAUACCGCGUAAAGUCUUUGGACUAANGGGGGCGUUUGCUCUUGCCAUAAGAUGAGCCCAAGUGGGAUUAGGUAGUUGGUGGGGUAAUGGCUCACCAAGCCGUCGAUCUCUAGCUGGUCUGAGAGGAUGACCAGCCACACCGGGACUGAGACACGGCCCGGACUCCUACGGGAGGCAGCAGUGGGGAAUAUUGCGCAAUGGGGGAAACCCUGACGCAGCCAUGCCGCGUGAAUGAAGAAGGCCUUCGGGUUGUAAAGUUCUUUCGGUGAUGAGGAAGGCAGUUUGGUUAAUAGCCAAGCUGAUUGACGUUAGUCACAGAAGAAGCACCGGCUAACUCCGUGCCAGCAGCCGCGGUAAUACGGAGGGUGCGAGCGUUAAUCGGAAUAACUGGGCGUAAAGGGCACGCAGGCGGAUUUUUAAGUGAGGUGUGAAAGCCCCGGGCUUAACCUGGGAAUUGCAUUUCAGACUGGGAAUCUAGAGUACUUUAGGGAGGGGUAGAAUUCCACGUGUAGCGGUGAAAUGCGUAGAGAUGUGGAGGAAUACCGAAGGCGAAGGCAGCCCCUUGGGAAUGUACUGACGCUCAUGUGCGAAAGCGUGGGGAGCAAACAGGAUUAGAUACCCUGGUAGUCCACGCUGUAAACGCUGUCGAUUUGGGGGUUGGGGUUUAACUCUGGCGCCCGUAGCUAACGUGAUAAAUCGACCGCCUGGGGAGUACGGCCGCAAGGUUAAAACUCAAAUGAAUUGACGGGGGCCCGCACAAGCGGUGGAGCAUGUGGUUUAAUUCGAUGCAACGCGAAGAACCUUACCUACUCUUGACAUCCAGAGAAUCCUGUAGAGAUACGGGAGUGCCUUCGGGAGCUUUGAGACAGGUGCUGCAUGGCUGUCGUCAGCUCGUGUUGUGAAAUGUUGGGUUAAGUCCCGCAACGAGCGCAACCCUUAUCCUUUGUUGCCAGCGAUUAGGUCGGGAACUCAAAGGAGACUGCCGGUGAUAAACCGGAGGAAGGUGGGGAUGACGUCA